CUGGGGCGACCGGCGGCGGGGCGGCCGGAGGGGCGGCGGCGGUCGGCGGAGGGUCUCACCUACACAGUGAAUGAGCUUGUGGCGCCACGAAUCCAGUUCUUGCCGAAAGCCGCGUCUCUCAACGGAGCAUUGCUGCCGCCUACACACCCUCGCCAUCUUCUGCCGCCCGCCCGGCCCAGCCUCCGCCGCGGCCCCGCGCACGCCCAGCCGCGUCGCCCGGGGCCGCGCACGCACCCGCGGCCCGGGCGUCGCGCCUCCUGCCGGGGGCGGUGCGGGGGCAGGGCCGGCCUCACCUCACCGUGGCCCCGGCGUGGCCCGGGGGCGGCCUGGGCCCGCUCACCCGCCCCGCGCGCCGCCCGCCGGGCUGCGAUCCCGCCGUCCUUCUACGCGGCUGCCGCCGCCUCUGGCCGCCCGGGACGGCGCCUUCCCACAGCCGGAAGUCAGUCCCGCUGGCCCCGCGCCGCCUUCGCACUGUCCCCCAAGGCCACGGCUGCCCCCGCCCUCCCCGGGGCUUUUUGUUUUUUACGCCAGCCCCAUUUAUCACUUCCAACCUGCCUAUCGCCCGGCACCAACUGUUGCAAGUUCCGUAAUAACUGCUGCUAUGAACUUCUCCGUCGAAACUGCUCCUCCCCAGAGCCUGUUUAAGAAGCAGAAAUAAGAAUAAAUUCCCGGAUGCCGGUGGAUGCACUGACCUCUAAGAUUUUCAAAGGUGAAGUGGAUACACGUUAUUAAGUCAUUGGGAGACAUCGCCAACAUUGGGAAACCUAGUAAAAAGUGGAAAUCGAGCGUUUUAAAUAAAAAAAAAAAAAGGUUUCUACUAGCAAGACUGAUCGUAGGCGAACUUCUCAAGGAAUUUUGGAAUAUUGUGCCAAAGUGAGAAUAUUUAAUAUUUCCAAAAGUAGACUUAACUAGGAAUACUUAAAGCAGAGACUAUUGGAAAUGCUUUAAUUUGGGAUUUCAGGAAAGGGCUUGAAGAGAAAUAUUUUAUAUGAGCAAGCCUCUUGGAAUAAUUGAAUCACCUUAAUUUUGUCACUGUUACUUCGAAGAGAACGAGAAGAGAGAAGAUGGGAAACGAAAGGAGAAAGGGAAAAGAAAUGGGGUGGAAAGAAAAAAGCAGAAGAGAUCGCCCUAUACCAGUAGGCCUAGUACCCUAGGAUUCUGGCCUCUUUCUCCCACCUUUGGUGUUUAAGAUUAAGGACAGUGCAUUCCUGCUUUUAGAAAUUUAAAUUUAAGUUUGAAGACUUAAUUUUAAUUACUGUAGUAGGUAAAGCAAAGUCGUUAAAUACUUGACAUCAGGAUCCCAUUGGAGUAUUGAUUUAGGUCUUUUCAAAGGUGGUGGUCCUGGUUCUCUGCACCAGCCACUGGCGGAAUGGCGGAAUGGUGUAUCUACCAAUGAACAGAUGGACUGGGUGGGCCUCGGGUACGGGUGGCUUGAGAUGCAAAUGCAAGGGUAGGAAGGCACCUUCCCCCCCACCACUCCCAGCCCACCCCGCCAAUCUUAAAACAUUGAUCUUUAUAAAAUUCGCAAACGUCCCACAGGAUUUCAUUGGCUUAAGAGUAUUGUCAAAUGAAGACGCCAGGAAGUAUUGAGUUUCUGGGUACAUAAUACUGUCCUGAGUGUUGAAGGAAGAGGACUAAUACGAGAUUUUAAAAAAUGGCUGUGGACAACCAUCCUUCAGGUGUGAUGGCAGGACAUCUUGUAUCACCUGAAACUUCCUUUUUUCGCCGCUAGGUGGUGGGUGUGAGUCUUUUGCGGCCUUUAAGUUUCUACGGUGUUUGGAGGAAAUACGUUUCAGUUUCAAAUAAAUGAACAACGUGUAACUCUAA
Molecule: long non-coding RNA, 1827 nt
Filed under: Homo sapiens (human)
Lineage: Eukaryota; Metazoa; Chordata; Mammalia; Primates; Hominidae
Description: non-protein coding lnc-PIK3AP1-6:4
Source: RNAcentral